This 254-nucleotide ribosomal RNA is filed under the name uncultured bacterium. Its description in RNAcentral is "partial 16S ribosomal RNA". It matches the Rfam family "Bacterial small subunit ribosomal RNA", at positions 524 to 776 of the family's 1533-position model. The record is from RNAcentral.
UACGUAGGGUGCGAGCGUUAAUCGGAAUUACUGGGCGUAAAGGGCGCGUAGGCGGCCAGCACAAGUCAGUUGUGAAAUCUCCGAGCUUAACUCGGAAAGGUCAACUGAUACUGUGCGGCUAGAGUGCGGAAGGGGCAACUGGAAUUCUUGGUGUAGCGGUGAAAUGCGUAGAUAUCAAGAGGAACACCUGCGGCGAAGGCGGGUUGCUGGGCCGACACUGACGCUGAGGCGCGAAAGCUAGGGGAGCGAACGGG